GUUAAAAAAAAAAAAAAAAAAAAAAAAAAAAAAAAAAAAAAAAAAAAAAAAAAAAAAAAAAAAAAAAAAAAAAAAAAAAAAAAAAAAAAAAAAAAAAAAAAAAAAAAAAAAAAAAAAAAAAAAAAAAAAAAAAAAAAAAAAAACUAUGCGGGUACCCAAAGAUCAGAGCUUUUAUAGAUGAUAAACUAUUUCAUUCGAGUACUUGGAUCCAGAGCUACCGCAUGGACUCUGUUUAUUCAAAGUUGCUGUAAAUUUCUAAGGGCUUGACAGGGUCGAUUACAAGUAACAGAC
RNAcentral lists this long non-coding RNA (291 nucleotides) under Citrus sinensis (sweet orange). RNAcentral describes it as "long non-coding RNA (CSIN_LNC004276)". Lineage: Eukaryota; Viridiplantae; Streptophyta; Magnoliopsida; Sapindales; Rutaceae. The record is from RNAcentral.